RNAcentral lists this long non-coding RNA (1110 nucleotides) under Vigna radiata. RNAcentral describes it as "long non-coding RNA (VRAD_LNC002302)". Lineage: Eukaryota; Viridiplantae; Streptophyta; Magnoliopsida; Fabales; Fabaceae. The record is from RNAcentral.
AAAUAUUGUAACCUGCUUUGGAUGCAACAUCAAAAUUAACUCUGGUCACGACUAUUACCAGUGCAAAACAUGUGCUUUUUCUCUUCACCCUCUCUGCUACAACAUGCCCUUAAUCACCAACCACCCUUCACAUCCAACCCACCAUCUACUCCUCCUUCCUCUACCUUCCACCAAACCCACUCUCAACUGUCUCGCAUGUGGCCACCGUGUCACCGCCUUUUCCUACCACUGUGCUCAAUGCUCCAUCUUCUUCCAUGCCUUCUGUCUUGCACUCCCUCUCUCCCUCGCAAUCACAUCCCAUCCCCACAAAAUCAACCUUGAGUUUUCACCACCCUAUCACUUCUUCUGUGACUUGUGCAACCACCCCAGUAAUCACAACCACCGCUGGCUCUAUAGAUGCAACAUCUGUGAAUUCGACACACAUAUACCUUGUGCCCUUCAAAAUCUGAUUGGAGGGGGACCAAGUAGAGAAAAUUUUGAUAGUAAAACCGCUGCUGGAUGGAACAAGAGAUUGUACGACAGAGCUGCUGAGAGUGAGAAGAUGAAUAAUGGUGAACUUGAAUUACUGGGAAAAGAACUAAGCCCUGCUGAAGUUUUAUCAAAGUUAGAAGAAAGAACACCGCUUCGGGAUAAAUGGACUCCACUUUCUGAUCAUUCACAGCUUAGUUACCAAUACAGCGACUCAUACUUUUCAAUAGAUUUGGCAAAGUCAUAUUCAACCCAUUCAGUUCAAAAAGAUGGUGCUACUAACUUUGUAAGCAAUUCCGUUCCAGUUAAUAUUAAUAAGCUGAAUGCAGAUAUUUUCAUGAAAGAAGGACCAAGAGUUAUGAUCAAAAAUGCUAACCAAAGCCACGCUAAACGAUCUGUUCAAGACCACACAAUAUCGGAGACAGUAAGUUCCAAUGAACUAGUACUCUAUAUAUAGUACCUUUUAUUUUUUUCAGCCUCCACGCUUCAAAAUAGAAUCUGUUCAAUCGAUUCUUGUUUCUUCAUCUGAAUCACAAAAGAAAAUCACUCCACACAGUGUGGAAUAUAUAGGUAAAGAAAUAGAUGUAAAAAUAAAUGAAAAUUAAGCAGAAAAAGAAAGUGGUAUAGGAAGAUGUAUAACAG